CUGUCCCCGGCCCUGCUGCAGCCACAGGUCACCGUGGUGGCCACCCUGGGUGAGCUGCUGGACACCGUGCCCAGGGAGGAUGAGGAGAUGCUGAUGCUGCUCGAGUCCCCAAGGUGCCUGUACAGUGAACUGGUGGGCAUCACCGCGGAGUUCCAGGGCACCCUGUGUGCCACUGAUGACACCUGGUGGCACUGCAAUANAUCAAGGCCGCCCUGAAGGGGACAAAUGAGGCAUCCCCUGAUGUCCCGGAGGGCUUGGUGGCCAAGGUGGCCAACGCCCGCCUGGCCAAGGAUCACCUGCUGGGAGCCUUUGAGGACUUCCUCGACUACUAUAGCACGGGUGGUCCCACCAGCCCCAGUGCCUGUGGUGAGGCUGACCGGUGCCAAAGAGCCAUCGAGGACAUCCCAAGGCUCCUUCGACCCCCAGAGUGUCCCCGGAGCGUCCCCAAGAUCUCCCCAGUGAGCAUGGAGCUCCAAGAGGUGUCCCCUCAGCAGCUGCAGGCACUGAUGGCCGUGGUGGCCACCCUGGGCAAGGUGGCGGCUGCUGUGACUUGGCCACACUGGGGCAACUCCCCAGACUUGCACGAGGACCUGAGGAGAUUCACCCAGAGCCUCCAUGCGACCCUGAACCUCAGUGAUAUCACAUCCCUGGCCCACCCUGGUGAUGUCACAUGCCUGGGCCACCCUGGUGAUGUCACAUCCCUGGGCCACCCUGGUGUUCCCUCCCUUGUGGUCAGUUAGGGGCAGGCGAUCGGAAGGUGUCGCGUUGUACGGGCAGACAGAACCGCUCCUCUCUGCUGUUAAAGUGUGUUGAGCACCACCCAGCCCCAGCUUGUGUCAGUAAUGCUGACAGUCAAUAA
Molecule: long non-coding RNA, 859 nt
Filed under: Zonotrichia albicollis (white-throated sparrow)
Lineage: Eukaryota; Metazoa; Chordata; Aves; Passeriformes; Passerellidae
Description: lncRNA (ENSZALG00000005088.1)
Source: RNAcentral